RNAcentral lists this ribosomal RNA (301 nucleotides) under uncultured bacterium. Its description in RNAcentral is "partial 16S ribosomal RNA". It matches the Rfam family "Bacterial small subunit ribosomal RNA", at positions 509 to 807 of the family's 1533-position model. The record is from RNAcentral.
CAGUAGCCUCGGUAAUACAGAGGGUGCGAGCGUUAAUCGGAUUUACUGGGCGUAAAGCGUGCGUAGGCGGCUUCUUAAGUCGGAUGUGAAAUCCCUGAGCUUAACUUAGGAAUUGCAUUCGAUACUGGGAAGCUAGAGUAUGGGAGAGGAUGGUAGAAUUCCAGGUGUAGCGGUGAAAUGCGUAGAGAUCUGGAGGAAUACCGAUGGCGAAGGCAGCCAUCUGGCCUAAUACUGACGCUGAGGUACGAAAGCAUGGGGAGCAAACAGGAUUAGAUACCCCUGUAGUCCCUGUCUCUUAUAC